UGUAAGCGUAUACCAAAGUUGUUGCAGUUAAAACGCUCGUAGUCGGAAUUUGGCAGUUCCGGAUGUGAGCACGUCGUGUGCGCACUUCGCGGGGAUUGCUUUUGUGGUCUUGCGUAGGAUGAGGCACUUUUAUUAGUGAACGUCCUCACGCAACCACUUUUUACUGUGAGAAAAUCAGAGUGCUCAAAGCAGGCAUUUGCCGUGAAUGUAUUAGCAUGGAAUAAUAGAAUAGGACUUGGUUCUAUUUUGUUGGUUUGUUGGGACUGAGUAAUGAUUAAGAGGGACAGUUGGGGGCAUUUGUAUUUCGGUGCUAGAGGUGAAAUUCUUAGAUUACCGAAAGACAAACUGCUGCGAAAGCGUCUGCCAAGGAUGUUUUCAUUGA
This 382-nucleotide ribosomal RNA is filed under the name uncultured eukaryote. RNAcentral's name for it is "partial 18S ribosomal RNA". It matches the Rfam family "Eukaryotic small subunit ribosomal RNA", at positions 592 to 976 of the family's 1831-position model. The record is from RNAcentral.